AGCCUUUAGCAUAAACGAGUAUUAAAGGUGUUGCCUGCCCAGUGAAACUUAAACGGCCGCGGUAUCCUAACCGUGCAAAGGUAGCGUAAUCACUUGUCUUAUAAAUAAAGACCCGUAUGAACGGCUAAAUGAGUAUUUAACUAUCUCCUAAGACCAGUCAGUGAAACUGAUUUUACAGUACAAAAGCUGUAAUAAACACAUAAGACGAGAAGACCCUGUGGAGCUUUAAAUCCUAGCCAAGGUACGUAUAAAAACACACCAAUGGUAAACAAUUUUAAGUUGGGGCGACUUUGGAGUAUAACAAAACCUCCAAAAGGCACUGCCAAACAAGGCUUACACGCCAAAAACCACAUAGACCCAGUACUACUGAACAAUGAACCAAGUUACCCCAGGGAUAACAGCGCUAUCUUCUUCAAGAGUUCAUAUCGACAAGAAGGUUUACGACCUCGAUGUUGGAUCAGGACACCCAAAUGGUGCAGCCGCUAUUAAAGGUUCGUUUGUUCAACGAUUAAUAGUCCUACGUGAUCUGAGUUCA
Molecule: ribosomal RNA, 535 nt
Filed under: Anolis biporcatus
Lineage: Eukaryota; Metazoa; Chordata; Lepidosauria; Squamata; Anolidae
Description: partial 16S ribosomal RNA
Rfam family: Bacterial large subunit ribosomal RNA
Source: RNAcentral